RNAcentral lists this ribosomal RNA (219 nucleotides) under uncultured Eubacteriales bacterium. RNAcentral describes it as "uncultured Clostridiales bacterium partial 16S ribosomal RNA". It matches the Rfam family "Bacterial small subunit ribosomal RNA", at positions 116 to 334 of the family's 1533-position model. Lineage: Bacteria; Bacillati; Bacillota; Clostridia; Eubacteriales. The record is from RNAcentral.
GGUGAGUAACCUGCCUUACACAAGGGGAUAGCCUCUGGAAACGGAGAAUAAUACCCUAUGACAUUACAGCCUCGCAUGAAGCAGUAAUCAAAGUGUUUAGCGGUGUAAGAUGGACUUGCGUCUGAUUAGCUAGUUGGUGAGAUAACAGCUCACCAAGGCAACGAUCAGUAGCCGGCUUGAGAGAGUGUACGGCCACAUUGGGACUGAGACACGGCCCAG